UAGAAUGUGAUUUUUUCUACAGAGGUUUACUCCCCUGGACAAUACUUCGUGACUUCAAAUAGCAUAAACCCAUGUUACACUGUGAUUUUUUCUACAGAGGUUUACUCCCCUGGACAAUACUUCGUGACUUCAAAUAGCAUAAAUCCAUGUUACACUGUGAUUUUUUCUACAGAGGUUUACUCCCCUGGACAAUACUUCGUGACUUCAAAUAGCAUAAAUCCAUGUUACACUGUGAUUUUUUCUACAGAGGUUUACUCCCCUGGACAAUACUUCAUGACUU
This is a long non-coding RNA of Branchiostoma floridae (Florida lancelet), 280 nucleotides long. RefSeq lists it as uncharacterized. Lineage: Eukaryota; Metazoa; Chordata; Leptocardii; Amphioxiformes; Branchiostomatidae. The record is from RefSeq and is a predicted model, not a curated record. The transcript is spliced from 2 exons.